Long non-coding RNA from Capsicum annuum, 647 nucleotides. RefSeq lists it as uncharacterized. Lineage: Eukaryota; Viridiplantae; Streptophyta; Magnoliopsida; Solanales; Solanaceae. The transcript is spliced from 2 exons. The record is from RefSeq and is a predicted model, not a curated record.
AAAAGGGUUUCCAAAAUGUAUAUCUUCUUCUCCGCCGCAACCCUGCUCCAGCUGAAAAAUGUUGGACUCCCUUGUUUUCAAUCACUCCUUCUGUAUGUAUUUACUUUGAAUAAGUUGUUUUUGUCGAUCUCAAAAUGAGUGACUCCUUUUUCGUGCUUCCAUUUCUGUACCACCUCCAUAACUUGAGAAUUUUGGUGCUUUCAAGUGUGUUCUCCGGUGCAUUGGGUGAAGUUCUUGUUGUUGUGCUGUGGUAGGGAACGGUGCUUAAAGUGUAUUCCACAUCUGAGUACUGAUGGGAUGGAGAUAAUAGGAUGCACAGACCCUCUUGUACUCAAAUUUCAAUACCCUUUCCAGGUGUUUCAAUAGCCAAAAUUUCACAUGUCCCUCCCCUUUUUGAUGUUCCCCGUAUCUCACAUGGAGUCCUUUUUGUUGGCUGACCAAUAUUAGUCUAGAAAGAUUCAUACCUGCUUUUGUUUGUCCUUUUAUUGUAAAUAUUUGCAUUUACCUACUGUAAUCUGAACACUGGACAUUGUAGCCUAUUCAGCCUGUAUAAUCUCUUGUUGCUCUGACACGAAUGUAUGGACUCUGCAGCUUAUCACUGUUCAGAAUUCUCUUGCCCUUUACUUCUAACUGUUCAAAUUGUGAAA